UAUCCGGAUUUAUUGGGUUUAAAGGGUGCGUAGGCGGCCUUUUAAGUCAGCGGUGAAAGUCUGUGGCUCAACCAUAGAAUUGCCGUUGAAACUGGGAGGCUUGAGUAUGUUUGAGGCAGGCGGAAUGCGUGGUGUAGCGGUGAAAUGCUUAGAUAUCACGCAGAACCCCGAUUGCGAAGGCAGCCUGCCAAGCCAUGACUGACGCUGAUGCACGAAAGCGUGGGGAUCAAACAGGAUUAGAUACCCUGGUAGUCCACGCAGUAAACGAUGAUCACUAGCUGUUUGCGAUACAGUGUAAGCGGCACAGCGAAAGCGUUAAGUGAUCCACCUGGGGAGUACGCCGGCAACGGUGAAACUCAAAGGAAUUGACGGGGGCCCGCACAAGCGGAGGAACAUGUGGUUUAAUUCGAUGAUACGCGAGGAACCUUACCCGGGUUUGAACGCAUUCGGACCGAGGUGGAAACACCUUUUCUAGCAAUAGCCGUUUGCGAGGUGCUGCAUGGUUGUCGUCAGCUCGUGCCGUGAGGUGUCGGCUUAAGUGCCAUAACGAGCGCAACCCUUGCCACUAGUUACUAACAGGUAAAGCUGAGGACUCUGGUGGGACUGCCAGCGUAAGCUGCGAGGAAGGCGGGGAUGACGUCAAAUCAGCACGGCCCUUACAUCCGGGGCGACACACGUGUUACAAUGGCGUGGACAAAGGGAAGCCACCUGGCGACAGGGAGCGAAUCCCCAAACCACGUCUCAGUUCGGAUCGGAGUCUGCAACCCGACUCCGUGAAGCUGGAUUCGCUAGUAAUCGCGCAUCAGCCAUGGCGCGGUGAAUACGUUCCCGGGCCUUGUACACACCGCCCGUCAAGCCAUGGGAGCCGGGGGUACCUGAAGUCCGUAACCGAAAGGAUCGGCCUAGGGUAAAACUGGUGACUGGGGCUAAGUCGUAACAAGUUAGCCGUACCGGAAGGUGCGGCUG
Molecule: ribosomal RNA, 966 nt
Filed under: human gut metagenome
Description: bacterial SSU rRNA
Rfam family: Bacterial small subunit ribosomal RNA
Source: RNAcentral